Molecule: long non-coding RNA, 265 nt
Filed under: Drosophila guanche
Lineage: Eukaryota; Metazoa; Arthropoda; Insecta; Diptera; Drosophilidae
Source: RNAcentral
GGUGAUUUAUAGCCUGUCGAUGGUCGUCGUCGUCGCCAGAUCCUAAAGCCUGUCCCCAGACCUCAGACACACGGAUACCAACGAGAGAGAGAGAUAGAGACACUGAGACCCCCGCCCCGACCACAGCAGGACAGACUGGUGCCACGCCGUCGGUCGCUCGUCGUCCCUGAGCUAAUGUACGCGUCUCUUCAGAUGCCGCGGAUUAGAUAAAAAUUCUCAAUUUAUGCGUUGCGCCAGUUGCCAAUUGCAUGCCCCCAUGCCCAAC